This 264-nucleotide ribosomal RNA is filed under the name uncultured bacterium. RNAcentral's name for it is "partial 16S ribosomal RNA". It matches the Rfam family "Bacterial small subunit ribosomal RNA", at positions 335 to 613 of the family's 1533-position model. The record is from RNAcentral.
UUACCUACGGGAGGCAGCAGUGGGGGAUAUUGGACAAUGGGGGGAACCCUGAUCCAGCGACGCCGCGUGAGUGAAGAAGUAUUUCGGUAUGUAAAGCUCUGUCAGCAGGGAAGAAAGCAAUGACGGUACCUGACCAAGAAGCCCCGGCUAACUACGUGCCAGCAGCCGCGGUAAUACGUAGGGGGCAAGCGUUAUCCGGAAUUACUGGGUGUAAAGGGAGCGUAGACGGCUGUGCAAGUCUGGAGUGAAAGGAGGGUGAACAAA